CCAUAGCCCCGAUAGAAGUGGAAAUCCUUUUUCUGGCUUCUUUAGCCAGGAAAAGAUUGAAACGAAUAGCGGGAAACAGC
RNAcentral lists this small RNA (80 nucleotides) under Flavobacterium circumlabens. RNAcentral describes it as "Flavo-1 RNA". It matches the Rfam family "Flavo-1 RNA". Lineage: Bacteria; Pseudomonadati; Bacteroidota; Flavobacteriia; Flavobacteriales; Flavobacteriaceae. The record is from RNAcentral.